RNAcentral lists this ribosomal RNA (93 nucleotides) under Bacillus pumilus. Lineage: Bacteria; Bacillati; Bacillota; Bacilli; Caryophanales; Bacillaceae. The record is from RNAcentral.
CACACCCGUUCCCAUACCGAACACGGAAGUUAAGCUCUUCAGCGCCGAUGGUAGUUGGGGGUCUCCCCCUGUGAGAGUAGGACGCCGCCAAGC